This 572-nucleotide long non-coding RNA is filed under the name Felis catus (domestic cat). RNAcentral describes it as "lncRNA (ENSFCAG00000052584.1)". The record is from RNAcentral. Lineage: Eukaryota; Metazoa; Chordata; Mammalia; Carnivora; Felidae.
GUUUUCUGAUAUUUUAAGCCACCCAGUUUGUGGUACUUUGUUAUGGCAGCUCCAGGAAACUAAUGGCUUGCACGUGUUUCUUGUAUCUGUAUCUAUCUUCCAGGUGUCUUUGGGUCUCUGGGUGCACACAGUAGCCUGCCCAGACGCGCUGGGUGCCCUGCAUGUGUGGAGCCCAAAGCCUGCCUGUAGACAGAGUCAGUGUAAACCAUACUAGACUGAAGGAGGAGCCAAGAGAGGGUUUUAAGGUGCCCACCCUCCUGUUGUGCUCCCCUGGACUAACGUGAUGUCUUCAAAACCUGUCCAGAAGAAGGUGCUUGUGAAUAAACUAGCCUUCCUAAGUAAGUUAAAAGGCUCGGAAGAUUAUCUAACACCCGAAAUUUGUACUUGGAGAUUGGCUUCGCGCAGCAGGGAUGAAUGGGGACACUAAGGAAGACUGCAGAGCAGCAGUGGCUGCAGUUUCUAAACUGCCAUUUGGGACAAAGUGGCAAAGGAGAAAAUUUUUGCAAUGCUGUGGUUUAGAGUGAAUAUUUAGAACUCAAGGCUGAGGGCGACCUUGGUGGUUGUGUGUGGUU